UGUCUCAAAGAUUAAGCCAUGCAUGUCUAAGUUUAAAUAAUUUUACUGUGAAACUGCGAAUGGCUCAUUAUAUAAGUUAUCGUUUAUUUGAUAGUACCUUACUACAUGGAUAACCGUGGUAAUUCUAGAGCUAAUACAUGCUAAAAACCUCGACUUCGGAAGAGGUGUGUUUAUUAGAUUAAAAACCAAUGCCCUUCGGGGCUCACUGGCGAUUCAUAAUAACCUCUCGAAUCGCAUGGCCUUGCGCCGGCGAUGGUUCAUUCAAAUUUCUUCCCUAUCAACUUUCGAUGCUAGAGUAGUGUUCUAGCAUGGUUACAACGGGUAACGGAGGGUUAGGGCUCGACCCCGGAGAAGGAGCCUGAGAAACGGCUACUACAUCCAAGGAAGGCAGCAGGCGCGCAAAUUACCCAAUCCCGACACGGGGAGGUAGUGACGAUAAAUACUGAUACAGGGCUCUUUUGGGUCUUGUAAUUGGAAUGAGUACAAUUUAAAUCCCUUAACGAGGAACAAUUGGAGGGCAAGUCUGGUGCCAGCAGCCGCGGUAAUUCCAGCUCCAAUAGCGUAUAUUAAAGUUGUUGUGGUUAAAAAGCUCGUAGUAGAACCUUGGGCCUGGCUGGCCGGUCCGCCUCACCGCGUGCACUGGUCCGGCCGGGCCUUUCCCUCUGUGGAACCGCAUGCCCUUCACUGGGUGUGCCGGGGAAACAGGACUUUUACUUUGAAAAAAUUAGAGUGCUCCAGGCAGGCCUUUGCUCGAAUACAUUAGCAUGGAAUAAUAGAAUAGGACGUGUGGUUCUAUUUUGUUGGUUUCUAGGACCGCCGUAAUGAUUAAUAGGGACAGUCGGGGGCAUCAGUAUUCAAUUGUCAGAGGUGAAAUUCUUGGAUUUAUUGAAGACUAACUACUGCGAAAGCAUUUGCCAAGGAUGUUUUCAUUUAUCAGGAACGAAAGUUAGGGGAUCGAAGACGAUCAGAUACCGUCGUAGUCUUAACCAUAAACUAUGCCGACUAGGGAUCGGACGAUGUUAUUUUUUGACUCGUUCGGCACCUUACGAGAAAUCAAAGUGCUUGGGCUCCAGGGGGAGUAUGGUCGCAAGGCUGAAACUUAA
This 1103-nucleotide ribosomal RNA is filed under the name Colletotrichum lupini. RNAcentral's name for it is "SSU rRNA". It matches the Rfam family "Eukaryotic small subunit ribosomal RNA", at positions 33 to 1147 of the family's 1831-position model. RNAcentral also lists the same sequence under 2 other names. The record is from RNAcentral. Lineage: Eukaryota; Fungi; Ascomycota; Sordariomycetes; Glomerellales; Glomerellaceae.